CUCUAAUUUUUAUUAUUUCCCUUCUUCUGCUGACUUUGGGCUUUGUUUGUUCUUCUUUUUCUAGUUCCGUUAGGUGUAGUUUAAGAUUGCUUAUUUGAGAUUUUUCUUGUUUGUUAAGGUGGGCCUGUGUUGCUAUGAAUUUCUCUCAUAUGACUACUUUUGCUGCAUCCCAUAUGAAUUGGUAUGGUAUAUUUCCAUUUUCACUUGUCUCCAGAUAUUUUUUGAUUUCUCCUUUAAUUUCUUCAAUGAUCCAUUGGUUGUUCGGUAGCAUGUUGUUUAGUCUCCACACAUUUGUCACUUUCCCAGCUUUUAUCUUGCACUUGAUUUCUAGUUUGAUAGCAUUAUGGUCAGAAAAGAUGCUUGAUAUGAUUUCAAUCUUCUUCAAUUUAUUGAGGCUUGCCUUGUUUCCCAACAUAUGGUCUACCUUUGAGAAUGUUCCAUGUCCACUUCAGAAGAAUGUGUAUUUUGCUGUUUUUGGAUGGAGUGUUCUAUACAUAUCUAUUAAGUUCACCUGCUCUAGUUUUUCAUUUAAUUCCACUAUUUACUUGUUGACUUUCUGUCUGGAUGAUCUAUCCAUUCAUGUAAGUGGGGUGUUGAGGUCCCCUACUAUUAUUGUGUUGCUUUUAAUAUCUCCUUUUAGGUCUGUUAAUAGUUGUUUUAUGUAUUUUGGUGCUUCUCUGUUGGGUGCAUAGAUAUUUAUAAGUGUUAUGUCCUCUUGAUGGAGUGUCCCUUUUAUCAUUAUAUACUGCUCCCCUUUGUCUCUCAUUGCCUUUUUUUUUUUUUAAGAUUUUAUUUUUUCCUUUUUCUCCCCAAAGCCCCCCCAGUACAUAGUUGUAUAUUCUUUGUUGUGGGUCCUUCUAGUUGUGGCAUGUGGGACGCUGCCCCAGCGUGGUCCGACGAGCAGUGCCAUGUCCGCGCCCAGGAUUCGAACUAACGAAACACUGGGCCGCCUGCAGUGGAGCGCGCGAACUUAACCACUCCGCCACGGGGCCAGCCCCUCUCAUUGCCUUUUUUAUCUUGAAGUCUACUUUGUCUGAUAUAAGUAUGGCAACACCUGCUUUCUUUUGUUUGCCAUUAGUUUGGAGUAUAGUCUUCCAACCCUUCACUCUGAGCCUGUGUUUGUCUUUAGAGCUGAGAUGUUUUUCCUGGAGGCAGCAUAUUGUUGAUCUUGUUUUUUAAUCCACCCAGCCACUCUGUGUGUUUUGUUGUUGUUGUUGUUGUUGUUGUUUCUGUGAGGAAGAUUGGCCCUGAGCUAAAAUCUGUUCCAAUGUUCCUCUAUUUUGUAUGUGGGAUGCUGUUACAGCAUGGCUUGAUGAGCAGCGUGCAGGUCCAGGCCCAAGAUCUGAACCUGCGAACCCUGGGGCACUGAAGCAGAACGCACAAACCCAACCACUAUGCUGCUAGACUGGCCCUCACUCUGUCUCUUUUGAUUGGAUAAUUCAAUCCAUUUACAUUUAGAGCGAUUAUUGACAUAUGAGGGCUUAAUACUGCCAUUUUAUCACUUGUUUUUCAGCUGUUCUGUAUUUCCCUUGUUUCUCAUCCCAUGUAUUUCCGACUGCCAAUUCAGUUUGGUAGUUCUUUAUGAUGGUUUUCUCAGUAUUUAUCAUUUGUGUCUCUGUUCUGAUUUUUGUUUAGUGGUUACUGUGAUGUUUGUAUAAAAGAUCUCAUUGAUGAGAUAGUCCCUUUUCUGAUAGCCUCUUUCCUUAGUCUAAGCAGCUUCCAUCCCUUUCCUCUUCCCUGUCUAAGUUAUUGUUGUCACAACUUAUUCCAUUUUGUGUUGUGAGUUUGUGGUUAAAAUGAAGUGAUUAUAGUUAUUUUUAAUGUUUUCCUUCCCUUUACCUUUAAUAUUUUCACUGGAUAGAGUAUUCUUGGCUGAAAGUUUUUGUCUUUUGGAAUUUAGAAUAUAUCAUUCUACUAUAUUCCACUCUCUCCUAGCCUGUAAGCUUUCUGCUGAGAAAUCUGCUGAAAGCCUGAUGGGGUUCCUUUGAAGGCUAUUUUCUUCUGUGUUGCUACCCUUAAUAUUUUUUCUUUGUUUUUGACUUUUGUCAGUUUUACUAAUAUAUGCCUUGGAGAAGGUCUUUUUACAUUGAUGUAUUUAGGAGUUCUUUUAGCUUCUUUUACUUGUAAUUCCAGGUCUUUCCCCAGGUUUGGGAAGUUCUCAGCUAUUAUUUCUUUGAAGAAGCUCUCUGCUCCUUUCUCCAUCUCUUCUCCCUCUUGAAUACCUAUAAUCCUUAUGUUGCAUUUCCUAAUUGAGUCAGAUAUUUCUCGGAGAGUUUCUUCAUUUCUUUUUAGUCUUAGUUCUCUCUCCUCCUCCAUCUGAGGCAUUUCUAUAUUUCUGCCCUCUAAAUUGCUAAUUCUGUCCUCCAUAAUAUCAGUUCCAUUAUUUAAGGACUCUAGAUUUUUCUUUAUCUCAUUCAUUGUGUUUUUCAUCUCCAACAUUUCUGAUUGUUUUUUUUAAUGGUUUCAAUGUCUUUUGUGAAGAAUUCCGUCUGUUCAUUAAUUUUCCUGAUUUCAUUGAACUGUCUUUCUGAGUUUUCUUGUAAUUUGUUUUUUUAAUGAUAGCUAUUUUGAAUUCUCUGUCAUUUAGAUUAUAAAUUUCUGUGCCUUCAGGAUUGAUUUCUGGGUACUUGUCAUUUUCCUUCUGGUCUGGAGUGUUACUAUACCUCUUCAUACUAUUUGAUGAGGUGGAUUUGUGCUUUCGCAUAUGGUAGUAUCUGGUCACGGGUUCCACCUGCCACCACAGGGGCGGGUCAGGAGCUAUGUAUUCUGAGCCUACCAAGAUCCCUGGCAGCUGUGCCUGUCCUUUGGAAGCUAUGCUGACAGAGUCUGUCUGUGUUUGCUGGCUUGCUGCUGUUGUUUUAUAAACAUAUGUGCUAGUGCUUUGGUGGGGGCCCCUCGCUCUGGUCGACUGGCCAAGCUGGUGCAACAGGCAGGGGGAUGGGUGCUUUGUUUUGCAUGCAUGAUCCCAGGGGCACUUCCACUCUGCACUCACUCUUUGCCCUCCUAAGGUGCUCAUCUUGGUGAAGAUGCCCCUGUGAUUGCUUAGCCUCUUCAGUGUGGAGCUUCCCCACAGACUGCUUUGAGCUGAGGAGGAAUUUUCUAGCUGGUACCUUCCUGAAGAAAGUGAAGCACAAGCUAGACUCCUUCUCCAACAAAAAUAACCCAGAAGUUUGGUGCCUGAGGAUUGUUAAAGCCAAGGGCUACACUGCCCACCCUUCUCCACCAUCCCCUGAUAGAAUCAAUGCUCAGAGUAACCUUGGAAGCCAUGUUUUGGAGAUUUUAGAGCCUUCUUCAACCUGAAGUCCUGAAUGACUAUGAGAACAGAGGCCCCCAUCGCCAACUCCCUGUACUAACUGUACUUUUUACGAUCAAGAAAUAAACUUCUGUCUUGCUAAACUACUAA
Molecule: long non-coding RNA, 3403 nt
Filed under: Equus caballus (horse)
Lineage: Eukaryota; Metazoa; Chordata; Mammalia; Perissodactyla; Equidae
Description: lncRNA (ENSECAG00000046182.1)
Source: RNAcentral